UAAUAACGCCAAGGUCGCGGGUU
Molecule: non-coding RNA, 23 nt
Filed under: Cricetulus griseus (Chinese hamster)
Lineage: Eukaryota; Metazoa; Chordata; Mammalia; Rodentia; Cricetidae
Source: RNAcentral